RNAcentral lists this ribosomal RNA (483 nucleotides) under uncultured bacterium. RNAcentral's name for it is "partial 16S ribosomal RNA". It matches the Rfam family "Bacterial small subunit ribosomal RNA", at positions 30 to 507 of the family's 1533-position model. The record is from RNAcentral.
AUUGAACGCUGGCGGCAGGCCUAACACAUGCAAGUCGAGCGGAUGAAGGGAGCUUGCUCCUGGAUUCAGCGGCGGACGGGUGAGUAAUGCCUAGGAAUCUGCCUGGUAGUGGGGGAUAACGUCCGGAAACGGGCGCUAAUACCGCAUACGUCCUGAGGGAGAAAGUGGGGGAUCUUCGGACCUCACGCUAUCAGAUGAGCCUAGGUCGGAUUAGCUAGUUGGUGGGGUAAAGGCCUACCAAGGCGACGAUCCGUAACUGGUCUGAGAGGAUGAUCAGUCACACUGGAACUGAGACACGGUCCAGACUCCUACGGGAGGCAGCAGUGGGGAAUAUUGGACAAUGGGCGAAAGCCUGAUCCAGCCAUGCCGCGGGUGUGAAGAAGGUCUUCGGAUUGUAAAGCACUUUAAGUUGGGAGGAAGGGCAGUAAGUUAAUACCUUGCUGUUUGGACGUUACCAACAGAAUAGCACCGGCUAACUUCGUG